CUUAACACAUGCAAGUCGAACGGAAAGGCCCUUCGGGGUACUCGAGUGGCGAACGGGUGAGUAACACGUGGGUGAUCUGCCCUGCACUUUGGGAUAAGCCUGGGAAACUGGGUCUAAUACCGAAUAGGACCACGCGCUUCAUGGUGUGUGGUGGAAAGCUUUUGCGGUGUGGGAUGGGCCCGCGGCCUAUCAGCUUGUUGGUGGGGUAAUGGCCUACCAAGGCGACGACGGGUAGCCGGCCUGAGAGGGUGACCGGCCACACUGGGACUGAGAUACGGCCCAGACUCCUACGGGAGGCAGCAGUGGGGAAUAUUGCACAAUGGGCGCAAGCCUGAUGCAGCGACGCCGCGUGAGGGAUGACGGCCUUCGGGUUGUAAACCUCUUUCAAUAGGGACGAAGCGUGAGUGACGGUACCUAUAGAAGAAGCACCGGCCAACUACGUGCCAGCAGCC
Molecule: ribosomal RNA, 452 nt
Filed under: Mycolicibacterium mucogenicum
Lineage: Bacteria; Bacillati; Actinomycetota; Actinomycetes; Mycobacteriales; Mycobacteriaceae
Description: bacterial SSU rRNA
Rfam family: Bacterial small subunit ribosomal RNA
Source: RNAcentral